GUACGGGGAAUCUGGUUUAAAGGGCCGCAUAGGGUUGUUGGAUUUCAGAAGUGCUAUAUGCCAAAAUGGUCCUGCCCUCUGGUGUUUUAUGUCUGGCCCCUGUCUGUACAUAGUGGUUGGAAAAUAUUGUUUAACGCUUAUAUAAUAAUAAUAAUACUAAGACUAAUAGUUGGUCACGGUAAAUAUUAGACUAAAAUUUAGCGAUAAUAAUGCUAGGUUUCGUCGAAGGAAAAUAGAAUCGUUAGAAGCAAGCGCUGCCCGAUUUUGGAAUCAUCACCUUAACAAAUGAACGUUGUUAUACAUGUUUUCAAUGAUUUAAACCACAAAGGGAGGGAACGCAAGGGGGACAGCACUAAGAAAUCGGAAAAGGGGUCAAAGGAAGGGACACAUCUUGAUAGGGCAACAACCGGGUAUAGGAUAUGGAAAGAGAUCAACAUGUUUUCUCGAACGAACAGAUUUACACCGUCAAUGACAGCGCACCAAGGGAACAACGGACAAUCACGGCAAAGGCAAGCACGAAUGCUGCUGCCUACGAGACCUAUCUAGAAGACCUUUCCUAGCUCUACUUUCUUUCUUAUACCAGGAAGCCUUUCGCUUGUCCCUUCGCACGUGAAUCUUGAUAUCCCGGCUAGAGAGCUUUGAUUUCUUCUUUCCUUGGGGUUCCUUCCCUCACUUGUUACCAGCAACUCUUCCUUUACACCUGAGAACAACCUAAUCUUUUCACAGCGGAAGAGUCGAAACGGACUGUAUAUGUAUUUUAUAUCUACGAAAAUGUUGGGGUAAAACAUGGGUAGAUGCAAUAGGUGAUGAGUGAUAAAAUGAUGAGAGGCCUCGAUGUUGAUGUUGUUGAUUCUGUCAUCUAGCGGAGUAUGGAUGACGACCACAGACUCUUCUAGACAGUCUAGUGGAACACUAGCAGGCUCGCAACCUGUAGGUGUUUGUGAACGAUAUGUUCACCGGUGUACUCCAUCCCCCACAUGGUUGCCUUUAGGACAUUUAUUGCUGAGGAAUCCCCUUAGCAGUAGUGUCCGUCCCGAUGAUGAUCCUUAGGCUAGGUCCCUUAUGAUAGGUGUUUAGGGACGUAAAGUGAGGAUAACGGGAACGGGUAAUCGGGUUAUUGUUGAUCGAUGAAAUUAAUAAACUUAUUUAUUGUGGGUUGAAAACCCUAUGUGCUCACCAGGCUCCCAAGCCUGACCCACUCAGUUUUAUGUAUUAUAGGUAGUGGCGCAUGAGCAUAGGUGUGAUGUUUUGGACGAGGGAUUACGGAUAUAGGCCUGUAGAUAUGAAAUAAUGUAGUAAGGCUUAUAUUGUACUGUUUAUGCUUUUGAUCUGUACGAACAUGACAUCCCGAGUCUUUUAAUGAAAUGCAUUUCUAUGGAAAUGCUUUUGAUAAAUCUUUAUCA
This is a non-coding RNA of Lactuca sativa (garden lettuce), 1403 nucleotides long. The record is from RefSeq and is a predicted model, not a curated record. NCBI's taxonomy places the organism in Eukaryota, Viridiplantae, Streptophyta, Magnoliopsida, Asterales, Asteraceae.